RNAcentral lists this long non-coding RNA (204 nucleotides) under Mytilus galloprovincialis (Mediterranean mussel). Lineage: Eukaryota; Metazoa; Mollusca; Bivalvia; Mytilida; Mytilidae. The record is from RNAcentral.
GUCCUGGCAAUAUCACAAGACCAUUACUGAUGAAUGGUGAAAGUGAAAAUCGUCAAUAUCAAAUUUGACCUCCAUUUUGUCAUCAGUAUCAACAUCUUAAAAUUUGAAAAGCUUAGAUUGAAUGGUUCAUGAGUAAAUGCAACAACGUGAAUGGAAACGCCAUUUCACAAUCUUUCAAGAACCAUAACUCCUGAACAGUAAAAG